Molecule: ribosomal RNA, 468 nt
Filed under: uncultured bacterium
Lineage: Bacteria
Description: partial 16S ribosomal RNA
Rfam family: Bacterial small subunit ribosomal RNA
Source: RNAcentral
GACGAACGCUGGCGGCGUGCUUAACACAUGCAAGUCGAACGGAAAGGCCCUGCUUUUGUGGGGUGCUCGAGUGGCGAACGGGUGAGUAACACGUGAGUAACCUGCCCUUGACUUUGGGAUAACUUCAGGAAACUGGGGCUAAUACCGGAUAGGAGCUCCUGCUGCAUGGUGGGGGUUGGAAAGUUUCGGCGGUUGGGGAUGGACUCGCGGCUUAUCAGCUUGUUGGUGGGGUAGUGGCUUACCAAGGCUUUGACGGGUAGCCGGCCUGAGAGGGUGACCGGCCACAUUGGGACUGGGACACGGCCAAGACUCCUACGGGAGGCAGCAGUGGGGAAUAUUGCACAAUGGGAGGAAGCCUGAUGCAGCAGCGCCGCGGGCGGGAUGACGGCCUUCGGGUUGUAAACCGCUUUCGCCUGUGACGAAGCGUGAGUGACGGUAAUGGGUAAAGAAGCACCGGCUAACUACGUG